GGAGGAAGAGGAGGAGGAGGCGGAGGAGGAGAGAGGGUGGUCUAGAGCUGAAGCUGUGACUGCCUUUUUUUUCCCUCACUCCCUCCCUCUUUUGUUAAGCUCCGGGGAUAGAUAGGUAGAUACUGCUGAAGCCCGGCGUGGAGGAUGAGCAAAAAGAAAAAGCCGUGGUGAAAACUCCUCUAGCUGAGGAAGAAGCAGAUGGCGUUAUCCAGACGUGCACUCACACAGAGGAAAAUCCCUUCUGAUCCACAAGGUUUGAGUGAGUCGUGCAAGUUAGAAGCAAGUCGGGCUAAUCUGUUCACAAAAGUGGAAAACCCAAGAGGAGAAAAUGAUGUUUAUGCUCCCGCUUUUCUUCACCUUAAGGAUACCCGUGGCCUUAGAUACUCAAUAUUUACAAGUUGAAUGGGUGGUAGAGCCUUCAGAUUCCAGGCCUCUCUUCUGUGGAACCAGCUUCAGUUUGGAUUUGGGAGACAGACACCAUCUCUACUUUUAAGUAUCUUGAGGUAACUGGUUGAUAUGUGGUGCUGUAAGUCACCCUGAAACAAACUGUUGUGUUGGGCUUGUUUAACGUCAAAAUUGUGAAGACACGUGCAUUCAUGCGGUCUUCCCCUGCAACAGACUGGUGAUAGAGUGGCUAAAGGCUGGUGCACCAUGCUUCUUGCCUAAAUAAGGACAUGCUACAAAAAGAAAUGGACAAACAAGGACUGUUUUUUCUACGCCUAACAUUCAGACACACUCAUUGUUCGUAUGCAUCAGGAGUAAUUGGAGUUCAGCAUCUUGCUCUAGGAUACUUCGACAUACAAAGUAAAGAUGCCAAGAAUCUACCCACCGCCCUUAGCAGCAGACCUGCAACAUGUAUGUACAGACAUCUUCAGAGGAUGAACAUAAACACUGCUCCAUAUAUAAGAGAUGGGUAAAAAAUUAUAUACCACUGAUAACGAUGACCUUUACAGCCUUUUGUGGACCAAGCACACGCAGGUCAGAGUUUAUGCACUUCUGUACGGGAGAACUUUUUAUAGUUCUGACUUUUGGAUGAACUAUUCUCUUGUGUCCCAUGUCCAAAAUGCAGGAAUUAGAGACCACUGUAGUGUUAGGACUCAGUUUUUAUUGUCCUCUUUUAGCUCUUACUACAGAGAAGGUACAAAAUAUGAGUUCUUACUGACAUAGGCGUAGUGUAAUUGGUACAGAUUUAAUUGUAGGGUGACUGGUUGAACACACUGAUGCAGCUCCAGCAGCCACUGCCAAUAUAUUACCCAUGUUAACAAAAGCUCUUAACACAGUCCUUAAAAAUGGAAGAAAAACACAACAAAUUUAAUGUCCAAGGUUUGUGGAGUGUGUAUACAAUAAAUGAAAUGAAGGGCAACUUUGACCCAGUAUGAAAUAUUCUAAAUCUUCACUACCAAUUCCACGUAACUCCCCUAUAGUCAUCCACCACACAGGGAAGCAACAUAGAAAGAAAACAGAGGGUGAAACUGGAUAACGAGGAAAUAAAAGAAGAGGUUAUGCUGCAUCACCAACUGCUGGCCAGCUAUAACAUCCAAUUUCUCUCAGCAACGCAAAAACAAACAUUAAAAAGGUUUGUUGUUUCCAGGGAAUUUCCCCAGUGGGUAUUUACCACCAGGUAGUCCUCAGAACCGCUUGGUCAAAUAAAGCUCUUAUUAGGAUCUAACUGGGUUUUCAAGAGUUAAUUGAGAAAAAUCUUACCGGUCUUACCUUAGCACUGAUGUGUGAAUGCAGGUCUGAGUCAAAGUCUGCAACACAGUUCUAACCUUUCAUCGUGCCCGUAGGCAAGCCUGAAUUCAGCACUGUAAAUCCCUUUCAUCUGCCUUGUUAACCAUUUGACAAAUUGAGCUUGUUUACUCUGCUUCUGAAACAAAUGUGUCAUCAGGAGUGCAUACAUUUAUUUCAAUACAAUAAGAGUGUUAGGUAAUCAAAAUAACUUGAUCUUUACAAUUGUGUUUUUGUGCAAAUGUAGGUGAUGUUUAAGAAUUGUUUUUGCAUGGUUUAGUCUUCAAAUUUGCUUAUAUACUGUCAACCACUUAGUUUUAGACUAUUUCUUCUAAAGAACCUGUGAUUAUUCAUUACAGUAAAUUAUUACUAACCAUAAAAUCAAAUUCUUUUCAACCCAAAGUAAUCCAGGAAGGUAGUAAGUCAUCAGAUAAAUGGCUGCUCAUCUUACAGUGUGUAUGAUGUACUUGAAAUGGGAGACAAGUGACUCAGAUUGAAGUCAUUAGCCGACAAGCAAUUAAGCACAAGUACAAACCAUCAAGAUUUCUCUUUUGCAUGAAGAAAACAGGUUCCUGCUUUGACACACACUCUUCAAUUAAAAAGAAAAAAAGUUAAGUUAAAAUAUGAUGCCACAUAUUUUUAUAACCAUACAAGCUGCUCUAUGAGGCUUAGAAACAAUAUUCCUCUGAGCUGAAGGCUAACAUUGACAUCCCUCUACUGUUAUAGCAUGCUAGCACCUGUUAAUGUUAGGCUCAAAAGGUCAUUUUUACUAUAGUUGCUUUAAACUUUAACAGUGCUGGACUUUGCUACAUUACAUUUGUAACAUUAACCAUGGCAACCAUUCUGGCAAGCAGGACAUCAAAUUAUCCAAGCUAAAGCAGCAUCACCAACUCUCUCACUCGUUUUUUCCUCACACUCAAAGGAAGAGGCCUCAAAGUCUUUUUUAAUGUGCGAAUGGCAACUUUCAUAUUUUAAUAACACCACUUGUCCAUAAACAACAAGGCAUCUGAGACAGUUUAAACACUUAAACUUUCCGAAGGAUAAUAAAGAAGCUCUAGAUGAUUCAUGCAAUCCAGGUUUAACAAAAUGUUAAUGAGGCUUGAAGGGUAGUUUAUUGCUGUGUGCGUAGGAGUCUCUAGACAUGAUCCAUUUAAACAUCCCCAAAUCGAGAGACUUUCAUAGAUUUCUGCUCUAAAAUCAACUGUCAGGAGCAAACAGUUACUCCUGAACACUUUUCUAUACCAGACAGGAGAGUCUGUAGUAUGUAAAAAAAAAAGAAAGAAAGAAAAGCAUUUGCAUUAAUGAUCAUCAUAAUGUGCCUGAUCUGUUUUAGUGCAAUCAUAAAAAAAGAAAAUUGCAACAGAUAUUCAACAAUUUCACAAGUUUAGGAAACUAAACUGGCUCAACAGUUUUAUUAAAAGGAAAGCUGAUUUGAGCAGAUAAUUUUGGGUAGUUUUCACAGAAUUCUAUUCCAUCAUGUCCAAUCUUGAAUCCUUUCAAAUGAUCAAAUCACUAUUUUUAUUAUGUUGGGGAAAUAAAACAAGCGAUUUGUGAGAAACUGCCAGCAGCAGAAAUUAUAUAAGUAUACCUUUAAAGAGCAUCCAUUCCCUGUCAGACUCUCACACACAGUGUUUGAUCGAGUAAGGUUGCACAUUCAUUCAACACCAUGUGCAGAAUGCCAAAAAACAAUGCAUACAAGGAGCCAAGGGAUGUGUAUGUGUGUAAUAUCAGUAGCAUACCAACCGAACGUUUCAUGAAUUCUUAAGAUUCUGCUGACACUGAAGUUUACGAAAGAGAGGGAAUUGAUUCCUCCACAACUGCAUAGCUCUAUUAUGAGCAGCACAAUCUUUACAUCUCACUCCAUACGCUGCCAGAAUAAAGCUUCCUAAUUACCUUAUCCAGUGACAGGACAGCCUUAAUUACUAUAGUAAGUUCACGCCAGUUAAUUGUCUUAAUUUUAAUAUCAAACAGACUUAUAAGCACAAUCUAAUUCUCAGCCAGUUUCUACAGACUGAAUGUGUCCCUGCUGCAUCUGCAUUUCUUAACAAAAAGGACAUUGUUCUAAGGAUUUUUCCAAGUCCAAUGUUUAACAAAUAACAGACAUCAAAGCAGUUUGUAAAUGGAGCAGGAAAGGCCAUGCUGUGUCUCAGGGAUGCGUUUCUCUCAUCACUGACCACCAGAUGUAUAACAAACACUGAGCCACAAAAGAGAGAGAGGAAAAAAAAGAAGAAAAAACAAGAGUCAAAUCCUUACAUGUUAGUUCAGAUACAGCUGGAAAAAUACAAGAGGUCAUAUGAUGAUGAUAGUCCUCUACAGAAGCUGCACUGGUAGGAUUCAGGAAAAACACUUGCCAGGAUAUCACCACACACACGCACACACACAGUGGUAUUCGCACACAGCAGAUUUACAGUGGUAAAUGGACUAUUACAUCCAAUUGCCACACACAGCAUGAGGAAAUUUGUCUCAUUGUGAGUCUCCUGAGAUACAAACAUGGGGACUACACAGAAUGCAGAAUAAACGGUUUCCUCAAUCCAGGAACUCAAAAGGGAAGAAAUUAGACCUAAAGAAAUGAUAUCAUUGGCAUUGUGUGUUUACAUCUUCGCCACAUUCUCUCAACUGUUUUUUGCACAUUGUCAGUACUGCUGAAGAUUUUAAAGAAAGUGAAUAUUUUGAAUUGGCAACUGUAACUGUAACUUCUGUCGGUGCUGUGCUUUUGGAAAACGAAUUUCCCAGAGGAACCCACCCGAGGGAUUAAUAAAGUUCUCUUAUCUUAUCUCAUCUGUAACACAGGUAAGGCUGGUGGUUUAAUAACCUGCUCUUCCUCCCCCCUGAUACCUCAGAUUGCUCCUGCUGUGUGAUGAUGUAGGACACAAAGACCGAUUCAAGCCUCUAAUGUAGCAGCUAGGAAAGACCAAAAGUUACACAUCUCACCUGCAAUUCAAAACUUCCCUGCUGAGUUAUUGCAUUGAUUUAAUUUGCCACUCAUCUAUUUCAACUGGG
Long non-coding RNA from Haplochromis burtoni (Burton's mouthbrooder), 4728 nucleotides. RefSeq lists it as uncharacterized. NCBI's taxonomy places the organism in Eukaryota, Metazoa, Chordata, Actinopteri, Cichliformes, Cichlidae. The transcript is spliced from 3 exons. The record is from RefSeq and is a predicted model, not a curated record.